UGGUUGGUAAUGUCAGGUCCCUUCUCGGUCAGUCUCCUGGAAGCAUCCUUGCUGGAGGAAGCAUCAGGCUCAGGCAGCACGCUAUCAAGGAGACCUGCACACUCUGAAGACGGUCCAAAGCUCACAACCAUCUUCAUAAUGUUCACCACCGAGUCGGCUAGAGGAUGAGGCCAUGUCCUUCCUGGGACUUUUUCUCUCUGUCCUCUUUAAAGAGGGCGAGAUGUCUCCCCCACAUGUUCCCAUUGCUGUGAUGUUCUGCCCGAAUGCAUGGAGCCAAGCAACGAGGGACCGAGGCCCCUGAAACUGUGAGUCAGGAUGAAUCUUCUUGUAUGUGGUUUCUGUCCAGCGUUUGCUUACGAAGGUGCAAAAGCUAUAAAGUUGGCGUCCCCUGAAGUCCUGGCUGUUGGCAUGUGCACAUGUGUUCUACAAUGAGCUCUUCCAGGGAACAGCACAAGCCAUUGGUUUUCUUGUCUCUUGCAAUAGUCAUUAUGGAAGUGAGCUCGGGGGCAUAUGGUAAGUGGCUGGACACUUGAGGGUACU
This is a long non-coding RNA of Mus pahari (shrew mouse), 540 nucleotides long. RefSeq lists it as uncharacterized. The transcript is spliced from 3 exons. The record is from RefSeq and is a predicted model, not a curated record. NCBI's taxonomy places the organism in Eukaryota, Metazoa, Chordata, Mammalia, Rodentia, Muridae.